AAAGCUCCCUUCGGGGAGCAAGUAGAGUGGCGCACGGGUGAGUAACACGUAGGUAAUCUACCUUCGGAUGGGGAAUAACAACCGGAAACGGUUGCUAAUACCGCAUAAUGCAGCGGCACCUAAUGGUGACAGUUGUUAAAGCGGGGGAUCGCAAGACCUCGCGUCUGAAGAGGAGCCUGCGGCGGAUUAGCUAGUUGGUAAGGUAACGGCUUACCAAGGCGAUGAUCCGUAGCCGGCCUGAGAGGGCGGUCGGCCACACUGACACUGACAUACGGGUCAGACUCCUACGGGAGGCAGCAGUCGGGAAUUUUGGGCAAUGGGCGAAAGCCUGACCCAGCAACGCCGCGUGAAGGAUGAAAUCCCUCGGGAUGUAAACUUCGCAAGAACGGGAAGAAUAAGUCCGUGCCAACACCACGGGCGAUGACGGUACUGUUUGUAAGCUCCGGCUAACUCCGUGCCAGCAGCCGCGGUAAUACGGGGGGAGCAAGCGUUGUUCGGAUUUACUGGGCGUAAAGGGCGCGUAGGCGGCCACCGCAAGUCGGUUGUGAAAUCUCCGGGCUUAACCCGGAAAGGUCAACUGAUACUGCGGGGCUAGAGUGCAGAAGGGGCAACUGGAAUUCUCGGUGUAGCGGUGAAAUGCGUAGAUAUCGAGAGGAACACCUGCGGCGAAGGCGGGUUGCUGGGCUGACACUGACGCUGAGGCGCGAAAGCUAGGGGAGCGAACGGGAUUAGAUACCCCGGUAGUCCUAGCCUUAAACGAUGGAUGCUUGGUGUCUGGGGUUUUAUAGU
This 789-nucleotide ribosomal RNA is filed under the name uncultured Bacteroidota bacterium. RNAcentral describes it as "bacterial SSU rRNA". It matches the Rfam family "Bacterial small subunit ribosomal RNA", at positions 70 to 837 of the family's 1533-position model. The record is from RNAcentral. Lineage: Bacteria; Pseudomonadati; Bacteroidota.